UCUAGACAGGGAAAAUACAAAUAACCCCCGGGUGGUUAAUGCAUGCAGGCGCAUCCAGGCGCCCCAUUCCCAAACACACACAAGGCGAUCACCACCCGCUGCAUCCCACCCACCUCCGGGGAGGGAGGGACUGGGAACCUGAUCUCCGGGCUCCAGCCGAAAGCUUCCCCAUCAAUAAUGUUGAUACCAUCGGUGUGCCUCUUCCCCCACCCCCGGGGCGCCGCUGCCGCCUUUUUGCCGCUUUUUGCUGGGCGAAGGAAAACGAAACCUCCUCUACUGCCCUUACCUAGCCUCGCGUUGGGGCCAGGAGGGGCUGGGCCCCAGGGUUUUCGAAGCAGGGGUUCGGGCAGGGCGCUUAAGGGGGGUCCUCCCGUUCUAGGCUAGGGAACCCAAUCCGGGCAGACCGAACUGGAAAGAGGGGCUGGGGCCCAGGCAAGGCCUCAUUCCAGACCCGGGGUCAGAUUGGGCCUGAAUCAGUGAAUGCUGCGGGUGGAGGCGCCAGGCCCUAGAAUGGGCCUCCAAACCUCCGCUUUCCAGGAAUGGCGAUUGGACCGAGAAGCCAGCCGCAAAACCCAUGGCUGGGAACGCGAUUGUGGCCCCGAGGCCUUGGGUCCCAGCGCUCCAGUCCCGCCAACCCAGCGAGGACUCUAGACCUUGGAGAACCCGAGGGUUCAUUGAACUCCCAACUGAACUGCCCAGCGCCUCCCCCGGUGUGAUUCCUCUAGGUUCGCAAGGUCGCGACCCUGGAGCAGCUGCUGCCUGGCUUCGGGCCACCCCCAUUCCCCAUCCCAGCACGCCGAGCCUCGCCAGCUCCCUGACACCCGGGCGGCCGCAACAGCGAACCACGGAACGUGGGCCCAAGACAAUGGCCCGUAAUUGAUGUAUUGCCACCAACAAGGAAGACCAACUCUCCUCUCCCCGCCAUUCCAACCGCCCCCCUUCCUCCCAUCCCCCUCUCCUCCAUCUCCCCUCUCCCCUCACCCGGCCACAGAGGGAAAGAAAACAAACAAGAAAUUAGUGGGGGAUGCCGCGCGCAGAGCGAGGCGCCUGCCUCUACACCGUCGAGGACGCAGAAGAACGAAAAAAGUUAUCAAAGUUUGGAUUCCCCCCAAUUAAUUCGUCUCUGCUCGCCCAUUUUUAGGCGAACAGCGCGAUGCAGAUUUUGGGUGUUCUUUUCGUUCGCUUGUUUGUUGUGGUGUUUGGGGGAGGGAAAAGCACCCCCUCCUCUUCAUCUUAAUCACACACAGGGCAAGGAGUGAACACGUGUGAAGCUACUCCCGGG
RNAcentral lists this long non-coding RNA (1282 nucleotides) under Heterocephalus glaber (naked mole-rat). Its description in RNAcentral is "lncRNA (ENSHGLG00100033535.1)". Lineage: Eukaryota; Metazoa; Chordata; Mammalia; Rodentia; Bathyergidae. The record is from RNAcentral.